UACGAAGGGGGCUAGCGUUGUUCGGAAUUACUGGGCGUAAAGCGCACGUAGGCGGAUAUUUAAGUCAGGGGUGAAAUCCCAGAGCUCAACUCUGGAACUGCCUUUGAUACUGGGUAUCUUGAGUAUGGAAGAGGUGAGUGGAAUUCCGAGUGUAGAGGUGAAAAUUCGCAGAUAUUCGGAGGAACACCAGUGGCGAAGGCGGCUCACUGGUCCAUUACUGACGCUGAGGUGCGAAAGCGUGGGGAGCAAACAGG
RNAcentral lists this ribosomal RNA (254 nucleotides) under uncultured bacterium. RNAcentral's name for it is "partial 16S ribosomal RNA". It matches the Rfam family "Bacterial small subunit ribosomal RNA", at positions 524 to 776 of the family's 1533-position model. The record is from RNAcentral.